CGCCGCGUGAGUGAAGAAGGUUUUCGGAUCGUAAAGCUCUGUUGUUGGUGAAGAAGGACAAGGAAAGUAACUGAUCUUUGUUUGACGGUAAUCAACCAGAAAGUCACGGCUAACUACGUGCCAGCAGCCGCGGUAAUACGUAGGUGGCAAGCGUUGUCCGGAUUUAUUGGGCGUAAAGCGAACGCAGGCGGGAAGAUAAGUCAGCUGUGAAAGCCCCCAGCUUAACUGGGGAACUGCAGCUGAAACUAUGUUUCUUGAGUGCAGAAGAGGAGAGUGGAACUCCAUGUGUAGCG
Molecule: ribosomal RNA, 293 nt
Filed under: uncultured Lactobacillus sp.
Lineage: Bacteria; Bacillati; Bacillota; Bacilli; Lactobacillales; Lactobacillaceae
Description: partial 16S ribosomal RNA
Rfam family: Bacterial small subunit ribosomal RNA
Source: RNAcentral